GACAGAGGGUGCAAACGUUGCUCGGAAUCACUGGGCGUAAAGCGCGUGUAGGCUGGCCAGUAAGUCGGGUGUGAAAUCCCUGGGCUCAACCCAGGAACUGCAUCCGAAACUACUGGCCUAGAGUAUUGGAGAGGGAAGCGGAAUUCCAGGUGGAGAGGUGAAAUUCGUAGAUAUCUGGAGGAACACCGGUGGCGAAGGCG
This 200-nucleotide ribosomal RNA is filed under the name uncultured bacterium. RNAcentral's name for it is "partial 16S ribosomal RNA". It matches the Rfam family "Bacterial small subunit ribosomal RNA", at positions 524 to 723 of the family's 1533-position model. The record is from RNAcentral.